CCGGUCUCUGCGGCGCGGUGUCGUAACGCUCCGCAUUCCUGGGAGCCUGCGCUCCCGGUUCAUGGAAUUGUGCUCCCGGCCCCGGGCGAAAACAGCAGCGACAACAACAAAAAGCAGGCGAGCCUUUGGCCGGGUUUUGGGAGGCUCCAGAAAUGAGUUCCAGAAGAAAGUGUUCCGGGCAGGAGUUCAGGGCAUGGACAGCGGGAGGAGGCAGCGGGAAAAGCUGGAUAAUCCUGGCCUUGCGUCACCUCCCGCGGCCCCACGUGCACAGCCAACAACGCCAAUGAGGAGGGCUUGGAGGCGCCGUUCCCCUGCCGGGGAAGGGACGGAUCAGGGAACACCAGCAAGGAGAAGAUCUUCCAAACUCUGUUUGGAUGGAUCCAGGGAGAUGAACCUGCUGAGGAGAGGGACUGAGCCAACACUGCGGCAGAAGAAGGGGUAAGGGUUGCGCACGUGGCUGGGAAAGGGAGAGGAUUUGGGAAUGAGAUCCCGAUGCCGUGAUAGUGUCCCUGUGGGAGAUGGAUUGGUCCGGGGGUGUGAGAAAGGAAUAUUUGGAAGUGUGUGGGUGUGAGGUGUGUGUGAGACUGUGCCUGCCUUUCCCUCCCCACACUCUGAGAACCUUUUCGGGGUGUUCACACAGGCCUCAGCUCCCAAAAUAAUCCACCCAUCCUGAAAAAUUCCGGAGUCUGCAGCCCCCUGGAGGAGAUGGAUUUGCUCCUGUGCCUCGGGAUUGGUUUCCCUCAGCUCAUGCUGCAGAAGAUGGGGUAUUUCUCCUUCUGGGAGACAGCUGAGGAGAAGCAAAGCUGUCACCCCAUCCCCGUGUCAGAAAAAUCCCCCAAAAGAGGGAAAAAGCAGCUCCUUCCACAGAAACCUUGGGGUUUCCUCUGGCUCGGUCCUCUCACAGGUGUGGGAUCCAAAAACCUGGGAACGGGCAAGGAUCUGCAUCCUUUGGAGGUAAACCUGGAAAUGCCGCUUCCGGAUAAGGAGGAUUCCCAAUCCCUUUUCCUCCGUCUGGGGAGCCAUAAAAUUUGGGAUGGAUCCAUGCUCCACAACAGGUCCAGGCAGGAAGCGGGGAGGGAUCCAUGGAGACCUUCGGGGGAAUUUCGGGAGGUGGAAGGUAAUUAACACCGACUGGAAUUUGGCCAGGAUUCCGGAUCAUUCCGGCUCCGUCAUCCCAAAACUGGGAUGAAAAU
This 1193-nucleotide long non-coding RNA is filed under the name Chloebia gouldiae (Gouldian finch). Its description in RNAcentral is "Erythrura gouldiae (Gouldian finch) lncRNA (ENSEGOG00005012564.1)". The record is from RNAcentral. Lineage: Eukaryota; Metazoa; Chordata; Aves; Passeriformes; Passeridae.